GCACAAACAAACCUCCGAAUGAUCCAUGCCAAGGCCUCACAAGCCAAAGCGAACUAAUAUUCACAAUUGACCCAAUAAUUUGAUCAACGGAACA
This 94-nucleotide ribosomal RNA is filed under the name Papio cynocephalus (Yellow baboon). RNAcentral describes it as "partial 16S ribosomal RNA". Lineage: Eukaryota; Metazoa; Chordata; Mammalia; Primates; Cercopithecidae. The record is from RNAcentral.